CUUAAAGGAAUUGACGGGGACCCGCACAAGCGGUGGAUGAUGUGGUUUAAUUCGAUGCAACGCGAAAAACCUUACCCACCUUUGACAUGUACGGAACCCUUUGGAGACAGAGGGGUGCUCGAAAGAGAGCCGUAACACAGGUGCUGCAUGGCUGUCGUCAGCUCGUGUCGUGAGAUGUUGGGUUAAGUCCCGCAACGAGCGCAACCCUUGUCAUUAGUUGCUACGAAAGGGCACUCUAAUGAGACUGCCGGUGACAAGCCGGAGGAAGGUGGGGAUGACGUCAAGUCCUCAUGGCCCUUAUAGGUGGGGCUACACACGUCAUACAAUGGCUGGUACAGAGGGUUGCCAACCCGCGAGGGGGAGCCAAUCCCAUAAAACCAGUCGUAGUCCGGAUCGCAGUCUGCAACUCGACUGCGUGAAGUCGGAAUCGCUAGUAAUCGCGGAUCAGCAUGUCGCGGUGAAUACGUUCCCGGGUCUUGUACACACCGCCCGUCACACCAAAAA
RNAcentral lists this ribosomal RNA (504 nucleotides) under uncultured beta proteobacterium. Its description in RNAcentral is "bacterial SSU rRNA". It matches the Rfam family "Bacterial small subunit ribosomal RNA", at positions 900 to 1408 of the family's 1533-position model. Lineage: Bacteria; Pseudomonadati; Pseudomonadota; Betaproteobacteria. The record is from RNAcentral.